Molecule: long non-coding RNA, 334 nt
Organism: Selaginella moellendorffii
Lineage: Eukaryota; Viridiplantae; Streptophyta; Lycopodiopsida; Selaginellales; Selaginellaceae
Exons: 2
Source: RefSeq, a predicted model, not a curated record
UCCCGGCCAUCGUCCGGUCUUCUUCUUGAGAGCAGGCCGGCCUUUGAAAUCCAGAGUUCCAUUCUGCGCAUACAAAGUUACAAGACUUUGGCCACUCCCGGGAGCUUUGGAGCCUGGAAAGCUACAAAGGUCAUUCUUCCUGUUCAGAGAAAGAAUGAGUGAGAUUUGAGCAACCAAACCAUUUUCGUGCGUACUUAAGGAGCUCGGUGUGAGUGAGUAUGUGAGAGUGUGUAGGGGGCCACAGUUGAAAUUUUUAUCCGCGUGGUCACCUCUGUGACGCACUUUAGUCCAGAGUUUCUUGAAGAAUUAAUGACAUCCAACCUCCUUUCUGGCC